UACGUAGGGCGCAAGCGUUGUCCGGAAUUAUUGGGCGUAAAGAGCUCGUAAGCGGUUUGUCGCGUCUGUCGUGAAAGCUUGGGGCUUAACCCCAAGUCUGCGGUGGAUACGGGCAGACUAGAGGCAGGUAGGGGAGAACGGAAUUCCCGGUGUAGCGGUGAAAUGCGCAGAUAUCGGGAGGAACACCGGUGGCGAAGGCGGUUCUCUGGGCCUGUACUGACGCUGAGGAGCGAAAGCGUGGGGAGCGAACAGG
Molecule: ribosomal RNA, 253 nt
Filed under: uncultured bacterium
Lineage: Bacteria
Description: partial 16S ribosomal RNA
Rfam family: Bacterial small subunit ribosomal RNA
Source: RNAcentral